GACAGGUGGUGCAUGGUUGUCGUCAGCUCGUGUCGUGAGAUGUUGGGUUAAGUCCCGCAACGAGCGCAACCCCUACGUUUAGUUGCUAACGCGUGAAGGCGAGCACUCUAGACGAACUGCCGUUGACAAAACGGAGGAAGGUGGGGAUGACGUCAAAUCAUCAUGCCCCUUAUGUUCUGGGCUACACACGUGCUACAAUGGCCGGUACAGACGGACGCAAAGCCGCGAGGUGGAGCAAAUCCUAAAAAGCCGGUCUCAGUUCGGAUUGCAGGCUGCAAUUCGCCUGCAUGAAGUCGGAAUCGCUAGUAAUCGCAGGUCAGCAUACUGCGGUGAAUACGUUCCCGGGCCUU
This 350-nucleotide ribosomal RNA is filed under the name uncultured Pelotomaculum sp. RNAcentral describes it as "bacterial SSU rRNA". It matches the Rfam family "Bacterial small subunit ribosomal RNA", at positions 1033 to 1382 of the family's 1533-position model. The record is from RNAcentral. Lineage: Bacteria; Bacillati; Bacillota; Clostridia; Eubacteriales; Desulfotomaculaceae.